GCUGGGGCCUGCGGGGACCCUGGGCUGGGGCCUGAGGGGUGAGCGGACGGAGGGGCGCGGGGACGCUGGGCUGGGAGAGGAUUUUUGAGGUGGAGGUGACUGAGGGGCACUGUCUGGGCAGAGGUGAGCUUGAGGUGUCCAGGGAGAAGCCUAGGCAGUCAGCACAGUGACCAUGAAGGAGUGCUGGGGAGCUGGGGGAAAGGACCUGGCAGGGGCCCCCCAGCUUGUGGCUGCAGGGGAGGCCCUCCAGGAGGAGAGGGACACCCCCCCCCAGGGCAGAGGCUGGGUCCUUGUAAGCUGAUACGGUCUUCUCCUCAUCUGGGCAGACAGGGCAGGGUCCAUCAGAGGCCUUAACAAGAGUGGGCGGGCUGGCCCUGACCACCCACGUGUCCUCUUGCUGACUGCUGCUCGAGCUUCACUGCACCCAGCCUGUAGGUUGAGAGGCCACGGCUUGGAGAGUCGCUUAGGGUUGCAGCCAAGGUUCCCCCCUUGAAGCCGGUGCCCCCUCCAGACACACCCUUGGGUGGAGAAGGGGCUGGCCUGCCAGGGGGGCCGCAACCACAUGUGCACCCAGGCACCACGAACACCUCCUCUGCUCUACAGAUGUCUGCUUACCGCAAUCCAAACUCACCAGGGCAUCCAGUAGUGGAGGACAAGCGAGCUGGGCCUGCAUCCCCUGUCCUCAACCUGGGGUGACCCAGAUGCAAACGGACAGGCUGGAGUAUCUUACAACACAGAGCAAAAGUAAGAGGCUCACGAAGAAGACGACGAGAACCUCACAGAACAGGACACGGAGAACGAUCACAGGAAACUUCUCAAAUGACAAGUAAUACCCAGGACACGUGGAGAAAAAACACCCACAGAGGCAUGUCAGAGUGACAUUCUGGAAUUCAAAGGGUAAAGAGAGUAGCUCAAAAACCUGCAGAGAAGAAGGAUCUUCUUUAAUCAGACUGAAUCUGAUUGUCAACUGGCAAGGGAGCACAAUUGUCAAAAUUGUAAGAGAAUUGAACCUAGAACUCCUAGUAGUGAAACUCAUUUGUGAAACCGCAAAAUAAAGGUGUCUUCACAGUCUAAACAUCCAAGUUCACCAUACACAAAGUCUAUUAAAAAAAAAUGCUGGAAGAUAGAUUCUAGCAAAACAAAAAGCGUAUCCAAGAGGAAGACAUGGAUGCCAGCAAAGAAACCAGUUGGAAUGGUUGAAAGAAAACCAUAUAACAGCUGGAGAGAAAAUCCCAGAUGAGCCCAACAUGACAUAUGGCAAGGGGAGGUCAGAGCAGGAAGGAAAAAGCACGCUAAAGUUCUUGUAUUGUUAGAAGACUUCAGAGUUGGUGGGGAAUUGAAAUGAAGACUGACAGUAUCAACAAAAAUCAGAAAAGAGAAGAUAAAUGCAUGAUCACAAAGGAAGAUAAUAUGAGAUGACAAGAAGAAAUUCAAGCAUUCAUGUAAUCACAAACAUGACUACAUUAAAUUCAUGUAUUAAAAGAUAGAGACUCUCGAAAUGGCAUAUAUCGUUAAAUACUGUCUACAGAAAAAUAUAUCUGAGAAAGUCACACAGAUUGAAAAUAAAAGGAUAGAAAGUAUGUAUCAUACAACUCUUGUUCCUCAAAAGACCGUAAGAGAAUGGACAAAAACAAAAACUAGAAGAUAUUUGCAACGUAUAUACCUUGCAAAUUAUUCAGUGUCCAGAAUAUAUGAAGAAUACUUUCAAAUCCAUUAGAGAAAAACAAGCCAGAGGUGCCUGGCUGGCCCAGUCAGUGGAGUGUAUGACUCUUGAUCUCAGGGUUGUGAGUUCAAGCCCCACGUUGGGUGAGGAGCCUACUUGAAAUAAAAUUUUAAAAAAUUAAUUUUUUUUUUUAAAGAAAAAGACAAGCCAAUCGAAUGACGGGGAAAACCCAUAAUCAGGGUCCUUGCAGAGAAGAAUGUGGAAGGGCCAAUAACCUCACCAGUAAUUUCAAAAAUGCAAACUAAAACCACCAAAUGAGCACAAAUGUUAAACUAAACCCAGUGACGGCAGGAAGGCAGAUCAACUGAAAUAUGCAUACCCUGCUGGCUGGAAUGUCAGGUGGUACCAUUACCUUAGUGAAAAAUAAGGCAUUACCCAGUAAAGUUGGACAUGUGUAUCAGUUAUCUAUUGCUGCAUAAUAAAGCACCUGCAAAACUUCAUAGCUCAAAACAACAAUAGUCGUUCCCUUUACACACAGAUCUCCUAGGGUACUAGGGUAUCCCUACUGGGGACUGGAGGGCCCAUGUCCAAGAUGGUGCAUGCAUGGCCAGUAGGCUGGUUCAGGCUAUGGGCUGAGCCGGAUGGUGGCCAAGUUCCAAGAGCAAGAAUUCUAAGAGAACUAGUAAGGACCUGUUAUCACUCUUCAUACCAUAGCCCCAGAAGUCACAUAGCAUCACUUCUGGCCAAGCCUGUCCGGAUUCAAGAGAUGAGACACCUCUGCUACCUGUGGAUAGAAGUGUCAAAGUCCUAUUUUAAGAGGAAGGAAUACACGUGCAAAUGUGCACACCAAUUCCCAGCUCGAGGGUUAAGCUGAUAUAUUCCUAGGUACCUCCGUGCCUGAAAGUAUGCCAAAGAAACCUGCACUUGUUCAUAGGGAGAUGUGCAUCAAAGUUCAAAACAGUAUUGUUUUUAGUAGCAAAAAUACUGGGAGGGAAAAUACCUUAAAUGUCCCUGGACAAUAAGACAAAGUGAUGUAUGUCCAUAUAAUGGAAUAGCACACGAUGGCUUCAAUGAAUGAACUGUACCACUUGGAGCCAAGUGGCUGAAUCUCAGACACGAUGCCGAGUGGGAGUAACUCAGGACUAUAAUAUAGAGUGUGAUUCCAUUUACAAUUAACAGAGUGAGCUAGCAAAUAUGUGGCAGGUUUACUCAAGCAAGCUUGUCUUCAGCCUCUAUCAAUACUUCCUUCCGUCUUCAGUAUUUGAAACUAGCCUUAUCAUCGCGCUGGGUUCCUCAUUAAUGAUUUAAAUAAAUCUUUGACGCAUUCUCACUUUA
This is a long non-coding RNA of Felis catus (domestic cat), 2998 nucleotides long. RefSeq lists it as uncharacterized. The transcript is spliced from 2 exons. Lineage: Eukaryota; Metazoa; Chordata; Mammalia; Carnivora; Felidae. The record is from RefSeq and is a predicted model, not a curated record.